CCUACGGGAGGCAGCAGUGAGGAAUAUUGGUCAAUGGACGAGAGUCUGAACCAGCCAAGUAGCGUGAAGGAUGACUGCCCUACGGGUUGUAAACUUCUUUUAUAAGGGAAUAAAGCGUUCCACGUGUGGCAUUUUGUAUGUACCAUAUGAAUAAGGAUCGGCUAACUCCGUGCCAGCAGCCGCGGUAAUACGGAGGAUCCGAGCGUUAUCCGGAUUUAUUGGGUUUAAAGGGAGCGUAGAUGGAUUGUUAAGUCAGUUGUGAAAGUUUGCGGCUCAACCGUAAAAUUGCAGUUGAGACUGGCAGUCUUGAGUACAGUAGAGGUGGGCGGAAUUCGUGGUGUAGCGGUGAAAUGCUUAGAUAUCACGAAGAACUCCGAUUGCGAAGGCAGUUCACUAGACUGCAACUGACAUUGAGGCUCGAAAGUGUGGGUAUCAAACAGGAUUAGAUACCCGAGUAGUC
This 460-nucleotide ribosomal RNA is filed under the name uncultured bacterium. RNAcentral describes it as "partial 16S ribosomal RNA". It matches the Rfam family "Bacterial small subunit ribosomal RNA", at positions 338 to 795 of the family's 1533-position model. The record is from RNAcentral.